GGUGUUGUGGCUCAGUGGUAGAGUGCUUGUCUCUGAUGUGUGAGGCCCUGAGUUUGAUCCUCAGCACCA
Molecule: transfer RNA, 69 nt
Filed under: Ictidomys tridecemlineatus (thirteen-lined ground squirrel)
Lineage: Eukaryota; Metazoa; Chordata; Mammalia; Rodentia; Sciuridae
Description: Spermophilus tridecemlineatus (thirteen-lined ground squirrel) tRNA
Rfam family: tRNA
About the family: Transfer RNA (tRNA) molecules are approximately 80 nucleotides in length. Their secondary structure includes four short double-helical elements and three loops (D, anti-codon, and T loops). Further hydrogen bonds mediate the characteristic L-shaped molecular structure. tRNAs have two regions of fundamental functional importance: the anti-codon, which is responsible for specific mRNA codon recognition, and the 3' end, to which the tRNAs corresponding amino acid is attached (by aminoacyl-tRNA synthetases). tRNAs cope with the degeneracy of the genetic code in two manners: having more than one tRNA (with a specific anti-codon) for a particular amino acid; and 'wobble' base-pairing, i.e. permitting non-standard base-pairing at the 3rd anti-codon position.
Source: Rfam by way of RNAcentral